AGUGAACGCUGGCGGUAGGCCUAACACAUGCAAGUCGAACGGCAGCACAGUAAGAGCUUGCUCUUACGGGUGGCGAGUGGCGGACGGGUGAGGAAUACAUCGGAAUCUACUUUUUCGUGGGGGAUAACGUAGGGAAACUUACGCUAAUACCGCAUACGACCUACGGGUGAAAGCAGGGGAUCUUCGGACCUUGCGCGAUUGAAUGAGCCGAUGUCGGAUUAGCUAGUUGGCGGGGUAAAGGCCCACCAAGGUGACGAUCCGUAGCUGGUCUGAGAGGAUGAUCAGCCACACUGGAACUGAGACACGGUCCAGACUCCUACGGGAGGCAGCAGUGGGGAAUAUUGGACAAUGGGCGCAAGCCUGAUCCAGCCAUACCGCGUGGGUGAAGAAGGCCUUCGGGUUGUAAAGCCCUUUUGUUGGGAAAGAAAAGCAGCAGGUUAAUACCCCGCUGCUCUGACGGUACCCAAAGAAUAAGCACCGGCUAACUUCGUG
This 492-nucleotide ribosomal RNA is filed under the name uncultured bacterium. Its description in RNAcentral is "partial 16S ribosomal RNA". It matches the Rfam family "Bacterial small subunit ribosomal RNA", at positions 29 to 507 of the family's 1533-position model. The record is from RNAcentral.